UACGAAGGGUGCAAGCGUUACUCGGAAUUACUGGGCGUAAAGCGUGCGUAGGCGGUUUGUUAAGUCCGUUGUGAAAGCCCUGGGCUCAACCUGGGAAUUGCAGUGGAUACUGGCGAGCUAGAGUGCGGUAGAGGAUGGUGGAAUUCCGGGUGUAGUGGUGAAAUGCGUAGAGAUCCGGAGGAACCCCAGAGGCGAAGGCGGCCCCCUGGCUCGUACCUGACGCUCAGCCACGAAAGCAUGGGGAGCGAACGGG
This 253-nucleotide ribosomal RNA is filed under the name uncultured bacterium. Its description in RNAcentral is "partial 16S ribosomal RNA". It matches the Rfam family "Bacterial small subunit ribosomal RNA", at positions 524 to 776 of the family's 1533-position model. The record is from RNAcentral.